UGGAGAAGGGAUGCCGUGCUUGGAAGGGCACUCGGCAGCUGGAGGAGGAAAUGAGAUUGGAGAACUUGCUGAGCCGUUUUAUAAACCAUUUGAGUUGGAAGACAGCGUUGCUGAGCUGCAGGGCUGAGGCUGCAUGGACCUGCUGGCAGAGAGCACAGAAAGGCGGCUUUAUCCCACACUCCAUUUUGCGGUAUGAAAACAUCAGAUGGGUUUUUAACCAAUCAUUAACAUUCUGGGCGUACUCAGUCCUGCUCCAGUUCAGGGGCCUAGACUAGAUGACCUACUAUGGUCCUUCCAGUCCUACGUUUCUAUGAUUUCUACUAGUAUGAUUUUUUUACCCUCCUUUACACAGCGACGGUGUCUUGUGGAUUCUUCAUUGUUGUUCUUCACUUUUUUAGUUUCUUUAGAGUCUGGUUUUGUUUGUUUUGGGUUGUUGUUGUCUUUGUAAUUCAACAUUCAUUUUGUACUUCCGACCUCUGCGCAAACCUUGGGGUUUACCCCUCUUUUUUCUCAGUCCUCGGUGUCUGGAUUUCUAUACAGAUCAGGUUUUAGCUUUCAGUUUAUUACUAUUUUUUCUCUCACUUUUAAAUCCCUUUCUUUAUUCAUAGAUCUUUAAGACUAGAAGGGACUAUUAUAAUCAAUUAGUCUGACUUCCUACAUAAGAGGCCAGAGAACCUCGCCUAGUAAAUCUGGCAUCAAGACCAUAAUUUCUGUUAGAGUUAGAGCAUACUUUUUAGAAAGAUACCCAGUCUGGAUUUAAAGAUUUCAAGCUACAGAGAAUCCACCAUAUUCCUUGUUACAUUGUUCCAGUGGUUUAAUUACCUUCAGUUAAAAAAUUGGGUUUUAUUACUAUUCUGAAUUUGUCUAGCUUCAGCUCCCAGCCAUUGGAUCUCCUCAUGUUUUUUUCUGCUAGAUUAAACAGCUGUUUACUAUUCGGUAUCUUUCCUAUGUAGAUUCUUGUUGACCAUGAUCAAGUUGCCUCCUUUUCAGAUUUCUCUUGGAUAAACUAAACGGAUCGAGCAUCUCAAGUCUCUCACAACGUACAAUUAACCUGUGGAACUCACUGCCAGGGGAUGUUGUGAAUGCCAAAAGUAUAACUGGGUUCAAAAAAGAACUACAGAAGUUCAUGGAAGACUGGUCCCUCAGUGGCUAUUAGCAACCCCAUGCUUGAGGCCAUGCUAAACCUCUGACUGCCAGACGCUGGGAGGGGAAGCCUGGUGGAUCAUUCCAGCUGCCUUAUUCUGUGCACCCCUGUACACCCUCUGGUCACUGUCAGAGACGGGAUACUGGCCUAGAUGGACCAUUGGUUUGACCCAGUAUGGCCGUUCUUAGGUUCUUAUGCUUAGAGGGCAUAUAUAACUGUAAGACUUUUCUAUUAGUGUGAAGCCCCUCGAAUAAAUGUAAUUGGUGGAAUUAUUUUGUAUUGCA
Molecule: long non-coding RNA, 1428 nt
Filed under: Chrysemys picta bellii (western painted turtle)
Lineage: Eukaryota; Metazoa; Chordata; Testudines; Emydidae
Description: lncRNA (ENSCPBG00000008776.1)
Source: RNAcentral